RNAcentral lists this ribosomal RNA (491 nucleotides) under uncultured bacterium. RNAcentral's name for it is "partial 16S ribosomal RNA". It matches the Rfam family "Bacterial small subunit ribosomal RNA", at positions 29 to 507 of the family's 1533-position model. The record is from RNAcentral.
GUGAACGCUGGCGGUAGGCCUAACACAUGCAAGUCGAACGGCAGCACAGUAAGAGCUUGCUCUUACGGGUGGCGAGUGGCGGACGGGUGAGGAAUACAUCGGAAUCUACUUUUUCGUGGGGGAUAACGUAGGGAAACUUACGCUAAUACCGCAUACGACCUACGGGUGAAAGCAGGGGAUCUUCGGACCUUGCGCGAUUGAAUGAGCCGAUGUCGGAUUAGCUAGUUGGCGGGGUAAAGGCCCACCAAGGCGACGAUCCGUAGCUGGUCUGAGAGGAUGAUCAGCCACACUGGAGCUGAGACACGGUCCAGACUCCUACGGGAGGCAGCAGUGGGGAAUAUUGGACAAUGGGCGCAAGCCUGAUCCGGCCAUACCGCGUGGGUGAAGAAGGCCUUCGGGUUGUAAAGCCCUUUUGUUGGGAAAGAAAAGCAGCAGGUUAAUACCCCGCUGUUCUGACGGUACCCAAAGAAUAAGCACCGGCUAACUUCGUG